This is an RNA transcript of Bradysia coprophila, 1269 nucleotides long. It is a transcript of the gene named Tetraspanin 97E, with no coding region annotated. Lineage: Eukaryota; Metazoa; Arthropoda; Insecta; Diptera; Sciaridae. The record is from RefSeq and is a predicted model, not a curated record.
UGCUCGUAGUCAUAAUAAGAAAAAAGUCUCACACACCAAUUCAUGGACGUCUAGCAGCUUUUACCAGAGAAAUUGGUUGGUCAAACAAUAUAAGAUAUUGAGUGAAAAUUAGAAAAUUGAAUCCAUCUGCAAGUGUACAUAACAACCAAUCAAAAUGUGUGGAGGAUUUUCGUGUUCGAAGAACGCUUUAAUUGCACUCAAUCUUCUGUACAUUAUGGUAGGGUUUCUAUUGAUUAGCGUCGGAGUGUACGGACGUGCAGCGUCGAUUGUGACUAAUCUACCAAUUGUCGGCGGUAUAUUGGCUUGCGGAAUUCUAUUGAUUUUGAUAUCAAUUCUUGGCUUAAUCGGAGCAUCCAAGCAUCAUCAAGUUUUGCUUUUCUUCUACAUGAUUAUUCUGUUCCUACUGUUCUUGAUCCAAUUUUCAAUAGCUACAUCAUGCUUGGCGGUUAGUUCGUCGCAGCAGCAACAGUUUGCCGAACAAGGAUGGAAUCGCGUUUCGAAUAAAGUCAGAAUGGAAGUACAAAAUACAUUUUACUGUUGCGGCUUCAACAGCACAUCGACAGACCAUCCGUCGUGUGAUGCCGUUCAAUCUCUCUGCUGUCCGACAAAUUCGCCGACGGAUUGUUCGUGUUCUCCCUGUUUGCAAAAAUUGGAAGAUGUCAUUGACUAUGCAUUCAAACUGUGCGGUAGAAUCGGACUAUUCUUCAGUUUCACUGAGUUUGUCGGUGUUUGGCUAACUGUACGCUAUCGCAAUCAAAAAGAUCCCCGGGGUCACCCGAGUGCAUUUCUAUAACAAUGAGCUGAAAUGAUGGCAAUGGAAACUAACCCAUUCCAGAAGUUUAUUAAUUUUGAAAAAUGAAUGUAAGAUAAAGGUAUUAGCCGUAUUUUUAGCAAGACGCUACCGCAAUCUUCAUGCCAUGGACCUACUACCUGCUAGAGCUAUUUUUCCAACCAAUUAUAUUUAUUAAGAGACAUAACUUUAUAUUUAAUCUGUGUAUAAUGUAACCUGCAGCUAAAUAGAUGUGGGCUCUAGAUAUGCCCAACAUUUUAGUGAUUAAUGUCGACUGUGUAUAGCCGUUUUUAAAUUUAAAUUUAUUUUUCGUCUUAUUUUUACUUAUAAUUAUGGAGAUUUGAAACAAGAAUGUGAUAUAAUUUAUUUUUAUUUUUUAUUCAAAUUGUAAGACAAAUUCGUAGAUUUAGUCGAUCGUCACGUAAUUAAUAUAAUACAAAUUGCUUUUAACAACUCCAGAAAAAUUUUGGCGGAAAAAU